UGGGGAAUUUUGGACAAUGGGCGAAAGCCUGAUCCAGCAAUGCCGCGUGAAUGAUGAAGGCCUUAGGGUUGUAAAGUUCUUUUAGUGGGGAAGAUAAUGACGGUACCCACAGAAAAAGCACCGGCUAACUUCGUGCCAGCAGCCGCGGUAAUACGAAGGGUGCAAGCGUUGUUCGGAAUUACUGGGCGUAAAGCGCGCGUAGGCGGCUUGAUAAGUUGGGAGUGAAAUCCCGGGGCUUAACUCCGGAAUUGCUUCCAAAACUAUUGAGCUAGAGUAUGGCAGGGGACAGUGGAAUUCCUAGUGUAGAGGUGAAAUUCGUAGAUAUUAGGAGGAACACCAGUGGCGAAAGCGACUGUCUGGACCAUUACUGACGCUGAGGCGCGAAAGCGUGGGGAGCAAACAG
RNAcentral lists this ribosomal RNA (403 nucleotides) under uncultured bacterium. Its description in RNAcentral is "bacterial SSU rRNA". It matches the Rfam family "Bacterial small subunit ribosomal RNA", at positions 355 to 775 of the family's 1533-position model. The record is from RNAcentral.